AGACGUAGGGCGCGAGCGUUGUCCGGAUUUAUUGGGCGUAAAGAGCUCGUAGGCGGCUUGUCGCGUCGUCCGUGAAAACCUGUGGCUUAACUACAGGCUUGCGGUCGAUACGGGCAGGCUAGAGUGCGGCAGGGGAGACUGGAAUUCCUGGUGUAGCGGUGAAAUGCGCAGAUAUCAGGAGGAACACCGGUGGCGAAGGCGGGUCUCUGGGCCGCUACUGACGCUGAGGAGCGAAAGCGUGGGGAGCGAACAGGAUUAGAUACCCUGGUAGUCCACGCUGUAAACGUUGGGCGCUAGGUGUGGGGGGCCUCUCCGGUUCUCCGUGCCGUAGCUAACGCAUUAAGCGCCCCGCCUGGGGAGUACGGUCGCAAGGCUAAA
Molecule: ribosomal RNA, 378 nt
Filed under: uncultured bacterium
Lineage: Bacteria
Description: bacterial SSU rRNA
Rfam family: Bacterial small subunit ribosomal RNA
Source: RNAcentral